Long non-coding RNA from Felis catus (domestic cat), 685 nucleotides. RefSeq lists it as uncharacterized. The record is from RefSeq and is a predicted model, not a curated record. The transcript is spliced from 2 exons. NCBI's taxonomy places the organism in Eukaryota, Metazoa, Chordata, Mammalia, Carnivora, Felidae.
CAGGCACCUGCGAAACCAGGCACUCGCAGAACCGGACAGUGGGAGCAGUCAGCGCUGACAGCCAGAGCUACCAUUUCGUGCAGACUCCGCGGGCGGCGAUGAGGGUUAGCUGAGAGUGUGUCUUCAUCUAGCGUGAGAAGGACACUAACAUUACUUGAAGAAAUGGAGAUAGACCCUUUCACUGAAACUCAAUAUACUGUGACAAAUUCCACUAACACUGUCAACCAACUUUUGUACAUACUUUUUUCUCUUUGAUUUUUGUGUGCUUUAAUAGGUACUUUACAAAAGCAUUCGUAACUUCAUCUGUAAUACAUGAAAAUCGAAACUGACAACAUUUCGAAAAGAAAACUUCUUAGGAAAUAUCAACACGUAUAAUAUUGCUCCACUACAAGUAGUCUGGCAUCUGCUUCAUGGAAACAUGGCCAUGAUUAAGAGUGUUUUUUUGAAUGUAGUCUAAUAAAUAUAGCAUUUCAAGGCAAUGAGAAAUGAAUGGAAUAUUCCAAACAGCAAGUCAUUCCCAACAGUUUGGAAUAGUCUUAGGUACAUAGUUCACACAGGGUAUAAUUCACAGGGAUUCAAGAUUUGAAAUGUGUAAAAUAAACCACUAGGAAAAUAAAGGUGACAAGGUGUGACACCAAAAAAAAAACCCAUAAAUUUAGUAUCCGAUGCGUUUUAGUAUUAGCAA